CGAGUAAGUCAGCCUAAUCCAACCCACCAUAGUAUUUAAGGUUGGAGCGGAGGAACCAAUUUGUGGGGCGUAUCUCACAGAGAGUGUCAACUAAAGAGUCAAGAGUUAAACAUUAAAUCUAGCUAAAUACUGAACUCAGAACUCAUUACUCAGCACUCGCCAGAGAGGGGCAUCUCUCAGCCCUAGCCCGUCAGCUAACUUCGUAGGCAUUGAGAGGAGACUGA
This 224-nucleotide small RNA is filed under the name Nostoc sp. RNAcentral describes it as "c-di-AMP sequence". It matches the Rfam family "c-di-AMP riboswitch aptamer (ydaO/yuaA leader)". From Rfam's summary of the family: This family represents a conserved RNA structure found upstream of the ydaO and yuaA genes in Bacillus subtilis and related genes in other bacteria. The ydaO/yuaA element is thought to act as a genetic "off" switch for the ydaO and yuaA genes in its native state. The record is from RNAcentral. Lineage: Bacteria; Bacillati; Cyanobacteriota; Cyanophyceae; Nostocales; Nostocaceae. RNAcentral also lists the same sequence under 1 other name.